Dryococelus australis is the source of this 71-nucleotide non-coding RNA. Lineage: Eukaryota; Metazoa; Arthropoda; Insecta; Phasmatodea; Phasmatidae. The record is from the annotation of a GenBank genome assembly.
GCGCUGCUGGUGUAAUGUUAUCAUGCAAGAUUCCCGUUCUUGAGACCCGGGUUCGAUUCCCGCGCGGCGCA